Molecule: ribosomal RNA, 1274 nt
Filed under: metagenome
Description: bacterial LSU rRNA
Rfam family: Bacterial large subunit ribosomal RNA
Source: RNAcentral
ACUGGUGCGCGAGAUGAGUAUUCUAAGGCGCUUGAGAGAACUCUGGAGAAGGAACUCGGCAAAUUGACACCGUAACUUCGGAAGAAGGUGUGCCUUUAGUAGGUGAACCAUUUACUUGAGCCCAAUGAGGCCGCAGAGAAUCGGCGGCUGCAACUGUUUAUUAAAAACACAGCACUCUGCAAAGACGAAAGUCGACGUAUAGGGUGUGACUCCUGCCCGGUGCUGGAAGAUUAAAUGAUGGGGUGCAAGCUCUUGACUGAAGUCCCAGUAAACGGCGGCCGUAACUAUAACGGUCCUAAGGUAGCGAAAUUCCUUGUCGGGUAAGUUCCGACCUGCACGAAUGGAGUAAUGAUGGCCACACUGUCUCCUCCAGAGACUCAGCGAAGUUGAAAUGUUUGUGAUGAUGCAAUCUCCCCGCGGAAAGACGGAAAGACCCCAUGAACCUUUACUGUAGCUUUACAUUGGACUUUGAACAGAUCUGUGUAGGAUAGGUGGGAGGCUUUGAAGAGUGGACGCUAGUUUGCUUGGAGCCAACGUUGAAAUACCACCCUGGUGUGUUUGAGGUUCUAACCUUGGUCCCUUAUCGGGAUUGGGGACAGUGUAUGGUGGGCAGUUUGACUGGGGCGGUCUCCUCCCAAAGUGUAACGGAGGAGUUCGAAGGUACGCUAAAUACGGUCGGAAAUCGUGUUGAUAGUGCAUUGGCAUAAGCGUGCUUGACUGCGAGACUGACAAGUCGAGCAGGUACGAAAGUAGGACAAAGUGAUCCGGUGGUUCUGUAUGGAAGGGCCAUCGCUCAACGGAUAAAAGGUACUCUGGGGAUAACAGGCUGAUACCGCCCAAGAGUUUAUAUCGACGGCGGUGUUUGGCACCUCGAUGUCGGCUCAUCUCAUCCUGGGGCUGUAGCCGGUCCCAAGGGUAUGGCUGUUCGCCAUUUAAAGAGGUACGUGAGCUGGGUUUAAAACGUCGUGAGACAGUUUGGUCCCUAUCUUCCGUGGGCGCUGCAAGAUUGAGAGAGCCUGCUCCUAGUACGAGAGGACCGGAGUGGACGCACCUCUGGUGUAUCGGUUGUCACGCCAGUGGCAUCGCCGAGUAGCUAAGUGCGGAAGAGAUAACCGCUGAAAGCAUCUAAGCGGGAAACUCGUCUCAAGAUGAGUCUUGCCGGGGCCUAGAGCCCCCUGAAGGGUCGUUCGAGACCAGGACGUUGAUAGGCUGGGUGUGGAAGCGCGGUAACGCGUUAAGCUAACCAGUACUAAUUGCCCGUGAGGCUUGACCCC